AAAGUACUCCCUCCGUCCCAAAAUUCUUGUCUUAGAUUUGUCUAGAUACGGAUGUAUCAAGUCACAUUUUAGUUUUAGAUACAUCCGUAUCUAGACAAAUCUUAGACAAGAAAUUUGAGACAGAGGGAGUAGUUG
Molecule: non-coding RNA, 135 nt
Organism: Triticum aestivum (bread wheat)
Lineage: Eukaryota; Viridiplantae; Streptophyta; Magnoliopsida; Poales; Poaceae
Source: Rfam